GUGAAUGAUGCUCACUAAGAAGAAUGAAACACAACUAAUAGGUUUGGUCCAGAGGGCUGUGAGUUUUUCCAGUUAGAGAGUUCCCACAUGGAUAUGUGAUGGCAACCCACUGUUUCAACUUGCCUGCUCCUCUUCUAUUGGAAUAAAAUACUCCUAUCUGUCAUUUUUCUAAGAUUCUUUUUAGAAGCCUUUAGUGUAUCUUGUUUAACAGUUUCUACUGGACUUUAAACUGCUGCAGCAGGAUGGGCAGCGAUCACUUGUAGCUCUGGGACAGAAGGCUUUCUCACUCAACCCAGCCAACUGGUCAGCUGCUCACCAUGUCAGAAAUGCACAGCAUGGAAAAAGAUCUUACAUUGAAAGCAGAACUCUAAAGGAAAGAAGAGUGAUACAGCUAUAUAUAUAUAUACAUCAGGCUAGAAAAAAAGGUGAGCUAAAAGAGUUUAAAAUUUCCUUGCCUUUCUGCAUCAAGAUUGCUAUUUCUUAUAACCAAUCUUUCCUUAAUUGGAAAAUUGUUGCUGCACACUGCAGAAAAUGAGAGGUGGAUUUAUUUCUACAUAUGGAUCCUGUUUAGUUUACUAUGUUAAAUAAGAAAAAAGCAUAUAUGAAAUCUGACAAAAGUGGAUGCUUAGACUGAAAAAAAAAAUACUUACAGUAACA
Molecule: long non-coding RNA, 657 nt
Filed under: Cyanistes caeruleus (blue tit)
Lineage: Eukaryota; Metazoa; Chordata; Aves; Passeriformes; Paridae
Description: lncRNA (ENSCCEG00000018311.1)
Source: RNAcentral